GUUACUCAUCACUACCAUUGAGAGUUGAACUAGCCCUUCCAUAAUUCUUUUUCACCUCUUUUUUUUUUUUUUCCCAUCGAAGCUUUUUUUCUUUCUGAAUUAUGGCAAUACUCAAUUCUUUUUUACUUCAGUAAUGUUCUUGGUUUUAAAUCAUCUGCACUUUUAGUUCGGACGUUGUUGUUUCAUUUUAAAAACUAGAUUUGAGGGGAAAUGCAUCUCUCCAUUGUGAAGGAAAGAAGACUAAUCUUCAUGCUAGAAGAGUUUCCACGGAAGAAAAACCAAAGCACAACAUCGGUUCAUCAGACAAGGUCUUUCCCAAUGUAAAAGCGGCUAAAGAUAUGCCUCUGGGUCGCCCUCAUUUCACUUUCACUAUCAAAGCCCAUUGCAUUUCAAAGUCUUUGCUGCAUAUUCCAAAACAAUUUGCACGAGCAAACGGCCUCAGCAACAGGAAUUGUACGAUAAUGAUAAGAGAUGAGCAAAGAUCAUGGGCGUUUAAGCUAUAUUACAGUGCAGCCAGAACUUUCAUUGGAGGUGGAUGGCAUGAAUUUUGCACUGCUAAUUUCUUAAAGGAAGGAGAUCACAUAAUGCUUGAGAUAUUUGCCCAGGGAGAGAAACCUCUAUUGAAAUUCUACGGCAAGUUUUCUCAUCUUAGCCCUUGUCUCUUAUAUUUCAUCCACUUUUUUCCGCUAAACCACGAUUACAAUGAAAUGACAUUCUGUUUCUUUAUAACGGUCCUGUCUAGUUCUUAAAAGUUUCUCUUCAUAACUCAUG
This is a long non-coding RNA of Lycium ferocissimum, 771 nucleotides long. RefSeq lists it as uncharacterized. The transcript has 3 exons. NCBI's taxonomy places the organism in Eukaryota, Viridiplantae, Streptophyta, Magnoliopsida, Solanales, Solanaceae. The record is from RefSeq and is a predicted model, not a curated record.